This 445-nucleotide ribosomal RNA is filed under the name uncultured bacterium. Its description in RNAcentral is "bacterial SSU rRNA". It matches the Rfam family "Bacterial small subunit ribosomal RNA", at positions 17 to 507 of the family's 1533-position model. The record is from RNAcentral.
UCAUGGCUCAGAACGAACGCUGGCGGCAGGCCUAACACAUGCAAGUCGAGCGGGGACUUCGGGUCCUAGCGGCGGACGGGUGAGUAACGCGUGGGAACGUGCCCUUUGCUUCGGAAUAGCCCCUGGAAACGGGGAGUAAUACCGGAUGUGCCCUUUGGGGGAAAGAUUUAUCGGCAAAGGAUCGGCCCGCGUUGGAAUAGGUAGUUGGUGGGGUAAUGGCCUACCAAGCCGACGAUCCAUAGCUGGUUUGAGAGGAUGAUCAGCCACACUGGGACUGAGACACGGCCCAGACUCCUACGGGAGGCAGCAGUGGGGAAUCUUAGACAAUGGGCGCAAGCCUGAUCUAGCCAUGCCGCGUGAGCGAUGAAGGCCUUAGGGUUGUAAAGCUCUUUCGUGGGGGAAGAUAAUGACGGUACCCCAAGAAGAAGCCCCGGCUAACUCCGUG